GAUCUGUUAGCUCAGUUGGUAGAGCAUUUGACUUUUAAUCAAAGGGUCAUGAGUUCGAAUCUCAUACAGGUCACCA
RNAcentral lists this transfer RNA (76 nucleotides) under Bacilli bacterium. RNAcentral's name for it is "tRNA-Lys". It matches the Rfam family "tRNA". From Rfam's summary of the family: Transfer RNA (tRNA) molecules are approximately 80 nucleotides in length. The record is from RNAcentral. RNAcentral also lists the same sequence under 2 other names. Lineage: Bacteria; Bacillati; Bacillota; Bacilli.